RNAcentral lists this ribosomal RNA (483 nucleotides) under uncultured bacterium. RNAcentral's name for it is "partial 16S ribosomal RNA". It matches the Rfam family "Bacterial small subunit ribosomal RNA", at positions 28 to 507 of the family's 1533-position model. The record is from RNAcentral.
GACGAACGCUGGCGGCGUGCUUAACACAUGCAAGUCGAACGCUGAAGCUCAGCUUUUGUUGGGUGGAUGAGUGGCGAACGGGUGAGUAACACGUGAGUAACCUGCCUCCUUCUUUGGGAUAACGCCCGGAAACGGGUGCUAAUACUGGAUAUUCACUGGUCUUCGCAUGGGGGUUGGUGGAAAGGGUUUUUCUGGUGGGGGAUGGGCUCGCGGCCUAUCAGCUUGUUGGUGGGGUGAUGGCCUACCAAGGCUUUGACGGGUAGCCGGCCUGAGAGGGUGACCGGGCACAUUGGGACAGAGAUACGGCCCAGACUCCUACGGGAGGCAGCAGUGGGGAAUAUUGCACAAUGGGCGCAAGCCUGAUGCAGCGACGCCGCGUGAGGGAUGGAGGCCUUCGGGUUGUGAACCUCUUUCGCUCAUGGUCAAGCCGCAACAAUGGUUGUGGUGAGGGUAGUGGGUAAAGAAGCGCCGGCUAACUACGUG